Molecule: ribosomal RNA, 462 nt
Filed under: uncultured bacterium
Lineage: Bacteria
Description: partial 16S ribosomal RNA
Rfam family: Bacterial small subunit ribosomal RNA
Source: RNAcentral
GACGAACGCUGGCGGCGUGCUUAACACAUGCAAGUCGAACGGAAAGGCCCUUCGGGGUACUCGAGUGGCGAACGGGUGAGUAACACGUGGGUGAUCUGCCCUGCACUUUGGGAUAAGCCUGGGAAACUGGGUCUAAUACCGAAUAGGACCACGCGCUUCAUGGUGUGUGGUGGAAAGCUUUUGCGGUGUGGGAUGGGCCCGCGGCCUAUCAGCUUGUUGGUGGGGUAAUGGCCUACCAAGGCGACAACGGGUAGCCGGCCUGAGAGGGUGACCGGCCACACUGGGACUGAGAUACGGCCCAGACUCCUACGGGAGGCAGCAGUGGGGAAUAUUGCACAAUGGGCGCAAGCCUGAUGCAGCGACGCCGCGUGAGGGAUGACGGCCUUCGGGUUGUAAACCUCUUUCAAUAGGGACGAAGCGCAAGUGACGGUACCUAUAGAAGAAGCACCGGCCAACUACGUG